CCUCCUCUGACUGUGCAUGUGAGGGUCAGCAACAUCAACUUAACCACCCACACACAAGUAAGUGAGAUGUCUUUUUAAGAAAGAAAAGUGAAAUACAAUGUAGUUUAAUGUAGUUUAUUGUAAAUCCUGAAACAAAUUGUUGCCGGAAUUUGAAUGUAAUAACACAUUCAAGAAUGUCACACGAAGACUUUGUUCGGCUGCUAGUUACUUGCAACAGCUGUUAUAUUUGGUAUUUCUAUUUGUAACAGUUUUGCACAGUUCAACAUUGUUAGGGUUAAUGUUCUUUGUUUGUCAUCUGAUUACAUUUCACGUGUUGGUAUAGAGCAUAGCACUGUCCCUGACUGUUCUUCAAUCUGGCCAGGUCUGAAUCUGCUGUCUACUCAACCAUCUAAGGGGGGAAAACACUCUUGAUGGUGAUCUACAUUGCUCUGGCAGUGGGAAUUGGGAACAUUUACAUAUUGGGACUUAAGUGUUGUGUUAACAGUGUGUGUGUGUGUGUGUGUGUGUGUGUGUGUGUGUGUGUGUGUGUGUGUGUGUGUGUGUGUUUCUGUGUGAAAGAGUGAGUGAAUGACUGAGCAACUGAGACAGAGAUAAAGAGAGAGAGAGAGAAUUGUUGCUGUGGAUUUACAUGUAUGAGUAUUCUGUUGUGACUGACUGUUUCCCUUCAUAUCUCCCUCCCUUCCUCUCUCUCUGCUCUCGUCAGUCAGACCAUCGAGACUGAGCUUUGCAAACCAAGGGCCUCUCUUUAGGACACCAGCAGCAGUCAGUGAUCUGACCUUGUCUGUAUAGUCUGGACAGCAGCCCUCUUGACAGAGGAACACUCACUCCAGGAGCAUGCUCGACCAGUUUACCAAGACAUUCAGAUCCACAAUGAGCUCUGCUGCUAAAGAAGCCGUCCUAUUGGGGUCAAGUAUCAGUGGGAGGUCUGAUCGGUUGUCUUGGGAAGUCAUUAUGACCCCUGGUCAAGGAAUUGUACCAGGCUCUCAUUUGACACGUUCUCCAAGACGACCAGACUGAGAAGCGAUGCCUAAGUCCUCCUUCUCUAUCUCUCUUGUUUUUCUAACAUCAUAAAAUAAUAAUUUAUCUGAGUUAUCAUUAAGAGGAGGGUAUAAUGUACCCUGUCUCUGAUACCAGGAUAAACUCAGAGGAUUGAGACAGUCCCCUGUGUCAGAGGACUCAAGCAAUGAGAUGGAAUGGGUAUGUCCUGUCCACCAGCAUAAUGCACACACCCCAGUUUGAUCUGUCAGAUAAAACAGUUUCCAACAGUUUAAAUUAGUUUUCAAACAGUUUGAAUCUGAGCGCCCAAUCACAUUUCCAUACUAAAGCAGACGACUAGGGAUGAACGUGAUGACGUCACCAGCAUGCUGGAGGGACUGCAUCUGACUGAAGAGAUGGAGUGGACACCUCAGAUGGGUCCCGUCGGUGAGGUCACUCAGUCAUUCCAGAGUCUAAGCUUGGCUCCCCAGGAUGAGCAGAUGGACUGGGUACCAGAAGAUGCCAGCUGUGGCUUGGUAGAAUCAUUCCAGGGCCUGUCGCUGGGAGCUGUUGAGGAGAAGAUGGAGACUGAUUUAUGAGACUUAUGAGAUUUUUGUGUCCAAUUGUGGACAUGACAACCUGAACACUGUAAAUUAGUAUACUGUUUAUAUUGUACAUAUUUAGAUGUUAUGUAUGUCUGGAUUUAUCCAUUAUGUCAAAUGGAAAUGUAAUAAAUGUAACCC
This is a long non-coding RNA of Sardina pilchardus (European sardine), 1718 nucleotides long. RefSeq lists it as uncharacterized. The record is from RefSeq and is a predicted model, not a curated record. NCBI's taxonomy places the organism in Eukaryota, Metazoa, Chordata, Actinopteri, Clupeiformes, Clupeidae. The transcript has 3 exons.